This 2452-nucleotide ribosomal RNA is filed under the name mouse gut metagenome. RNAcentral describes it as "bacterial LSU rRNA". It matches the Rfam family "Bacterial large subunit ribosomal RNA", at positions 3 to 2476 of the family's 2925-position model. The record is from RNAcentral.
UCAAGCUACAAAGAGCAUUGAGGUGGAUGCCUUGGUACAUGGCGCCGAAGAAGGACGUGACAAGCUGCGAAAAGCUACGGGGAGGAGCAAAUAUCCUGCGAGCCGUAGAUAUCCGAAUGAGGGAACUCAAUACGAGUAAUAUCGUAUUAUCCAUACCUGAACACAUAGGGUAUGAGAGGGGAACCCGGGGAACUGAAACAUCUUAGUACCCGGAGGAAAAGAAAGUAAAAACGAUUCCGAGAGUAGUGGCGAGCGAAAUCGGAGGAGCCCAAAGGAAUUGUAGAAAUACGAUUCUGGUAUCGAAAUCGAAGAAUAUCUUAGUCGAAGACAGUUGGAAAGCUGCACGAAACGAAGUGAUAGUCUUGUAGGCGAAAAGAUAUUUGAGAGGAUACAGCGAGUACGUCGGAACACGAGGAAUUCUGACGGAAUAUGUGGGGACCAUCCCAUAAGGCUAAAUACGACCAUGUGACCGAUAGCGAAUAGUACCGUGAGGGAAAGGUGAAAAGAACCCCGGGAGGGGAGUGAAAAAGAACCUGAAACCGGAUGCUUACAAGCAGACAGAGCACUACGUUGGCAACAACAGUGUGAUGUCGUACUUUUUGUAGAACGGGCCGGCGAGUUACGCGGAGAUGCAAGGUUAAGAGAUAAAGUCUCGGAGCCGAAGCGAAAGCGAGUCUGAAAAGGGCGAUAAGUAUCUUAGCGUAGACCCGAAACCUGGUGACCUAACCAUGAACAGGUUGAAGCAAUGGUAAAACGUUGUGGAGGACCGAACCCACGCCUGUUGAAAUAGUCGGGGAUGAUUUGUGGUUAGCGGAGAAAUUCCAAACGAACCGGGAUAUAGCUGGUUCUCCUCGAAAUAGCUUUAGGGCUAGCCUCGUUUUAGAUUACCGAAGGUAGAGCACUAAAUGGCCUAGGGGGCUUCACAGCUUACCGAAGCUUAUUAAACUCCGAAUGACGGAUAAUUGAUGAACGGGAGUCAGACAGCGACAGAUAAGUGCCGUUGUCAAAAGGGAAACAGCCCAGACCCACAGCUAAGGUCCCAAAGUAUAUGUUAAGUGGAAAAGGAUGUGUCAUUGUAAAGACAACCAGGAUGUUGGCUCAGAAGCAGCCACACAUUAAAAGAGUGCGUAAUAGCUCACUGGUCGAGUGAUGAUGCGCCGAAAAUUAACGGGGCUCAAACAUAACACCGAAGCUUGGGAAUAUACGAUGUAUAUUGGUAGAGGAGCAAUGCAUACGGGCAGAAGCCAUAUCGGAAGAGGUGGUGGACUGUAUGGAAGAGAGAAUGCCGGCAUAAGUAGCGAGAGCGGAGCGAGAAACUCCGCCGUCGAAAGUCUGAGGUUUCCUGGGGAAGGUUCGUCCGCCCAGGGUAAGUCGGGACCUAAGUCGAGGCUGAAAGGCGUAGAUGAUGGACAACUGGUUGAAAUUCCAGUACUACCGAACGAGAUAAUGACGCAGUGACACGGAGAGAUAGUAUGAGCGCGCGGAUGGAAAAGCGCGUCCAAGCAAUAAGGCUUACACGUAGUGAAGUACGCGUGUUAUAAGGCUGAGUUGUGAAGGGGAACGGACAAAGGAAGUGAAGCAUACGAAUCUGUACCGGCGAGAAAAGCUGCUAAAUAUUGUGAGGUACCCGUACCGCAAACCGACACAGGUAGACGAGAAGAAAAUUCUAAGACGAACGGGAGAACUCUUGUUAAGGAACUCGGCAAAAUGACCCCGUAACUUCGGGAGAAGGGGAACCACCGCGAGGUGGUCGCAGUGAAGAGGCCCAAGCGACUGUUUAUCAAAAACACAGGUUUCUGCUAAAUCGCAAGAUGAAGUAUAGGAGCUGACUCCUGCCCAGUGCCGGAAGGUUAAGGGGAUUUGUUAGAGCAAUCGAAGCAAUGAACUUAAGCCCCGGUGAACGGCGGCCGUAACUAUAACGGUCCUAAGGUAGCGAAAUUCCUUGUCGGGUAAGUUCCGACCCGCACGAAUGGAGUAACGACUUGGGCACUGUCUCAACAGGAGACCCGGCGAAAUUGUAGUAUACGUGAAGAUGCGUAUUAACCCGCGACUGGACGGAAAGACCCCGUAGAGCUUUACUGUAACUUGAUAUUGAAUCUCGGCAAUUGAUGCACAGGAUAGGUGGGACGCUUUGAAGUCAUCCUCUCGGGGGUGAUGGAGCGGACGUUGGGAUACCACUCUUCAAUUGCUGCGGUUCUAACCGGACGCCAGGAAUCUGGGUUUGGGACAUUGUCAGGUGGGCAGUUUGACUGGGGCGGUCGCCUCCUAAAAAGUAACGGAGGCGCCCAAAGGUUCCCUCAGGACGGUUGGAAAUCGUCCGACGAGUGCAAAGGCAUAAGGGAGCUUAACUGUGAGACUGACAGGUCGAACAGAUGCGAAAGCAGGGCUUAGUGAUCAGGCGGUAGAGAAUGGAAUUGCCGUCGCUUAACGGAUAAAAGUUACCUCGGGGAUA